CAGCCAUCUCAACUUUCAGCGCUCCUAUCCUAAAGGUCCUAACACACACGGAAACCUCCGAGUGUUUAAUCCUGAUUUUGAGCGGCAGCUUCUGACGGGAGGCUUCCUGAGCGGCACCUUCACUUCUCAUCUAGCACCAUCUACUGCCCACGGCGGGCAGGAGCCGCAGCCGCUGCCCAGCCCCGGCCCCGCUGGAGGAGCGCGGAGAGCCGCGGAACUGGCCACGGGCCCUUCCCGCACCGAGCUGGGCACGGGCCCGAAUCCUGACUGAGUUGGGCACGGGCCCUUCCCGCACCGAGCUGGGCACGGCCCUGAAACCUCACCGAGAGGGGCACGGGCCUGAACCUUCACCGAGCUGGGCACGGGCCCGAACCCGCACCAAGCUGGGCACGUCCCCGAACCCUGACUGAGCGGGGCACGGGCACUGCUCCGCACGGAGUCCGCCGGCGCUGCAACACCAGCUCGAACUUUGUGUGGUGAUCCAGAUGCAUACAGAUUCCAAAGACUCUGCUCCGGCAGAGUUAGAAGGACAAAGCACCUGUUCCCCUAGCAGAUUUCUCUGUUCGUACUUGAAGUUGCUGUCAGCUUUGGCCCUGCCUCCCUGGUGCCACAAAGGUGAUUACAACUAUUGAUAUGCAUCCUCCACUCUUUCAAAUGAAGACUAAUGGCUUGAAGCAAUGACUGAUGCCACUUCUUCCAGCAGAAUUAGAGCAGAACAUCACAGGCAGGUCAGUAUGUUUUCUAAAAGGAAGCUUUGAGAGUAUACAUCACAGAAGCUCAGGAUAUAUUGAUUCUGCCUGAAUCAUGUUAACACUCAGCUCUCCUCUAUCCAAAAUCUCUGUUCAAGCACAGUUAAACUCUAAAUUAGGCAACUAAUGACAAACAAAUGAUGAUGGACACUGUGGAAAAGGAAAUAAUAAGUGAAAAACUACACUUGUUCCAACACUGCCAUAUCAGAUGCUUCCUUUCGGUAACUUACAUGAAUAUUUGUUUUUUUCUCCCACAAUAUUGUCACCAUUGACAUAGGCAGUGGUUGCCAAAGGACAAAAAUAGCAACAUAAAGCAAUCUAGAAGAAGUGAUUUCUAGGAAAAGCUUCUAAGAAAGAUAAGCUACCUUAGCAAACUAAAGGAAGAGGAGAUUUCAAACCCAGCACAUUAGGAGAAAGCUGUAAGUUUACUAACUCCUUGUCAAGCAAAAGGGUUGUUUGAGCUGUUACAGAGACCUAACAUGAAAAGAAGAAAAAGGUGAAAACUGAAAUGAAAGCUGUAGCAUAACUCUUUAGAAACCUUUAGAUAGACUUAACUGAAAGGGGUAGAUCUAUAUGGCUGGAUACUCAAGUCUCCUAAGGAAGGAAAUGAAACUGAUGGAAUAGCAGUAGGUUGUAAUUCUUCUUUUCUGCUGGCUUGUAUCUAUUGACUAAAGUAGAUUUGUCCUUCCUAUGGGAAUCUAAAAAGCCUGAACAGCACAAGGAGAAAUUAAGAAGUAGUUGUACUUACAAGCAUUAUAUCUAAUUGCCUGCAAACCUGUCAUUUUUCAUCCACAGUACCUGUAUGGUUUAAGCACACUUAGA
Molecule: long non-coding RNA, 1571 nt
Filed under: Zonotrichia albicollis (white-throated sparrow)
Lineage: Eukaryota; Metazoa; Chordata; Aves; Passeriformes; Passerellidae
Description: lncRNA (ENSZALG00000010077.1)
Source: RNAcentral